This 523-nucleotide long non-coding RNA is filed under the name Gouania willdenowi (blunt-snouted clingfish). Its description in RNAcentral is "lncRNA (ENSGWIG00000006718.1)". The record is from RNAcentral. Lineage: Eukaryota; Metazoa; Chordata; Actinopteri; Blenniiformes; Gobiesocidae.
ACACACACACACACACACCACACACAACACACACACACACACACACACACACAACACACACACACACAGGCCUUGUGACGUUUCUGUCUAUGUUUCAAGCUCCGCACUUUGAUCACGAUCAUCUGAAGAUGGCUCCGUCUGCUUCACCACGACUGGACGACUUCCACGGAUACCACCGAGGAAGACGCCAGUCAGAGCCCUCCAGAGCUGCUGAUGUUCACGCCCGAACGCUCCAGGAAGAGUUUACCUCUGCUACUGGACGGAAACCUGCCGUACAGACGCAGCAGGAGGCAGUCGGCGGCCGGCCAAAGACCUUGAAGCAGCUUUUAAUUCAAACGCUCUCAAGGUACGAGCAAGUCCCACUCAGCUUCACUUUCACCCUUUAAACCGUAAAUAUGAUCAUAAAUCCCAUUAAGAACAAACCAUUCCCAGUAAAACCAGUUCAUAGAGCUCCAGUUCCUGUUUAUAAAGAGUAGCAUGUACAGUAGGCCAGUGACUAACAGUGUCCCAGCCUGCCACCAGG